Molecule: transfer RNA, 68 nt
Filed under: Ictidomys tridecemlineatus (thirteen-lined ground squirrel)
Lineage: Eukaryota; Metazoa; Chordata; Mammalia; Rodentia; Sciuridae
Description: Spermophilus tridecemlineatus (thirteen-lined ground squirrel) tRNA
Rfam family: tRNA
About the family: Transfer RNA (tRNA) molecules are approximately 80 nucleotides in length. Their secondary structure includes four short double-helical elements and three loops (D, anti-codon, and T loops).
Source: Rfam by way of RNAcentral
GGGGUUGUGGCUCAGUGGCAGAGCGCUUGCCUUGCACGUAUGAGGCAUGGGUUGGAUCCUCAGUACCA